UAGUGUUUUGUCCCCUUGAAAUAUUAUACCUUGAAUAAAGUGUCAAAAGAUAACAAUAAUAAUAUUCAAGGUAAAAAUGCAAUUAUUCCAAAUAAUAAUAUUCAAGGUAAAAAUACAAUUCUCCCAAUUUGACUUUUAACUUUGACUUAAACCCUUAACUCAAACGAUUAAUUAAUUAACUGGAGUUAGGUUGAAUAUCGAUUGACUUAUUUAACCCCUAUUGAUUAAUAGUGUAAUUAGGGUUUAAAUUGACAUGAUUAAAAUAUAAUCCUAUGUCGACAAUUUUGAUUCUACAUUCUCCCCCUUUGUCGAUGGCAUAUAUGUUUUAAUUCAUGUUUAGUCAAUAUUCUAUUUUACCCUUAUGAGCAUGCUCCCCCUGAAUUAUUGACCCAUAAUAUUCAAUUUAAAAGCAGUGGAUCAUGCAUGAUUUCUCUCCCUUAAAACAAUAAGGUAUCGACAAAGUUAAAAUAGAUACCUGUGAAGUAUCUACCCCUUAAUGAUAGGAUAUAUCUAAUUUGUGGAGAAAAUAAAACUUCAUACCUUAUUGAGCUUUGAUCACAAAUUCGAUUUGUGUGGUUGACCAAAUGUGACUUCUUGCUUAUAAAAGUGUUAGUCAAUCAUAAAGGAGAAAUAACAUGUAAUUUAUGCUCAUUGAUAAAAUAUUGGAUUGAAGCCAAUUUUGAUAUACAUUAUAAGGCAAAUAUGAUAUGAUAAUUUAAAUUGCCUUGUGUUAAGAUCAUGCAAUGAAUAAUAUUCCAUGUGUGUGUUAUGGAUGAAGAUGAUCUUAACAUGUAUGGAUUAAAGAUUUUAUAAUGUUAUAAUCCAUUAGUGAAUGAUAUGUAUAAAUUCAUAAUAUUCACUAAUUGCUUUAAGAAGAAAUUGAGCAUUUAAAUUUUUUAAAAUCUAUGUCUUAGUGACAAAUAUAAUCAUGUAAAUAUUCACUAAGUU
Molecule: long non-coding RNA, 948 nt
Filed under: Zostera marina
Lineage: Eukaryota; Viridiplantae; Streptophyta; Magnoliopsida; Alismatales; Zosteraceae
Description: long non-coding RNA (ZMAR_LNC001561)
Source: RNAcentral